RNAcentral lists this ribosomal RNA (251 nucleotides) under uncultured bacterium. Its description in RNAcentral is "partial 16S ribosomal RNA". It matches the Rfam family "Bacterial small subunit ribosomal RNA", at positions 524 to 773 of the family's 1533-position model. The record is from RNAcentral.
UACGUAGGGUGCAAGCGUUGUCCGGAAUUAUUGGGCGUAAAGAGCUCGUAGGCGGUUUGUUGCGUCGGCUGUGAAAUCCCGAGGCUCAACCUCGGGUCUGCAGUCGAUACGAGCAAACUAGAGUGUUGCAGGGGAGACUGGAAUUCCUGGUGUAGCGGUGAAAUGCGCAGAUAUCAGGAGGAACACCGGUGGCGAAGGCGGGUCUCUGGGCAACAACUGACGCUGAGGAGCGAAAGCCGUGGGGAGCGAAC